UGGGGAAUAUUGCACAAUGGGCGCAAGCCUGAUGCAGCCAUGCCGCGUGUAUGAAGAAGGCCUUCGGGUUGUAAAGUACUUUCAGCGGGGAGGAAGGUGUUGUGGUUACUAACCACAGCAAUUGACGUUACCCGCAGAAGAAGCACCGGCUAACUCCGUGCCAGCAGCCGCGGUAAUACGGAGGGUGCAAGCGUUAAUCGGAAUUACUGGGCGUAAAGCGCACGCAGGCGGUCUGUCAAGUCGGAUGUGAAAUCCCCGGGCUCAAACUGGGAACUGGAUCCGAAACGGGCAGGCUUGAGUCUUGUAGGGGGGGGUAGAAUUCCAGGUGUAGCGGUGAAAUGCGUAGAGAUCUGGAGGAAUACCGGUGGCGAAGGCGGCCCCCUGGACAAAGACUGACGCUCAGGUGCGAAAGCGUGGGGAGCAAACA
This 427-nucleotide ribosomal RNA is filed under the name uncultured bacterium. Its description in RNAcentral is "partial 16S ribosomal RNA". It matches the Rfam family "Bacterial small subunit ribosomal RNA", at positions 355 to 774 of the family's 1533-position model. The record is from RNAcentral.